CCUACGGGAGGCAGUAGUGAGGAAUAUUGGUCAAUGGGCGCGAGCCUGAACCAGCCACGUAGCGUGAAGGAUGACUGCCCUACGGGUUGUCAACUUCUUUUAUAAAGGAAUAAAGUGCGGCACGUGUGCCUUUUUGUCUGUACUUUAUGCAUAAGGAUCGGCUAACUCCGUGCCAGCAGCCGCGGUAAUACGGAGGAUCCGAGCGUUAUCCGGAUUUAUUGGGUGUAAAGGGAGCGUAGAUGGGUUGUUAAGUCAGGUGUGAAAGUUUGCGGCUCAACCGUAAAAUUGCAAUUGAUACUGGCAGUCUAGAGUACAGUUGAGGUAGGCGGAAUUCGUGGUGUAGCGGUGAAAUGCUUAGAUAUCACGAAGAACUCCGAUUGCGAAGGCAGCUUACUAAACUGCCACUGACAUUGAUGCUCGAAAGUGUGGGUAUCAAACAGGAUUAGAUACCCGAGUAGUC
Molecule: ribosomal RNA, 460 nt
Filed under: uncultured bacterium
Lineage: Bacteria
Description: partial 16S ribosomal RNA
Rfam family: Bacterial small subunit ribosomal RNA
Source: RNAcentral